Molecule: ribosomal RNA, 253 nt
Filed under: uncultured bacterium
Lineage: Bacteria
Description: partial 16S ribosomal RNA
Rfam family: Bacterial small subunit ribosomal RNA
Source: RNAcentral
UACAGAGGAUGCAAGCGUUAUCCGGAAUGAUUGGGCGUACAGCGUCUGUAGGUGGCUGUUUAAGUCCGACGUGAAAUCCCAGGGCUCAACUCUGGACAGGCGGUGGAAACUACCAAGCUGGAGUACGGUAGGGGGAGAGGGAAUUUCCGGUGGAGCGGUGAAAUGCGUAGAGAUCGGAAAGAACACCAACGGCGAAAGCACUCUGCUGGGCCGACACUGACACUGAGAGACGAAAGCUAGGGGAGCGAAUGGG